Cyprinus carpio (common carp) is the source of this 176-nucleotide long non-coding RNA. RefSeq lists it as uncharacterized. The transcript is spliced from 3 exons. The record is from RefSeq and is a predicted model, not a curated record. Lineage: Eukaryota; Metazoa; Chordata; Actinopteri; Cypriniformes; Cyprinidae.
AAAAGACAUUUGGCAACCCGAACUUCAGUGAGAAAAAAAGCAUCAUCUACCAAAAGAGUUCAAUAUGAGACAUUAGAUUCAGACGCCCAGACUCACAGGAACUACAAGAACUUCAAAGACACUCUCCUGCAGAUCUUCCAGGAUCUUGAAAGCAAAAUUAUCAAAUUUCUGAAGAA